Molecule: long non-coding RNA, 3081 nt
Organism: Lytechinus pictus (painted urchin)
Lineage: Eukaryota; Metazoa; Echinodermata; Echinoidea; Temnopleuroida; Toxopneustidae
Exons: 3
Source: RefSeq, a predicted model, not a curated record
ACAGCAUCAUCAUCACGUGCACCAACAACAACAACGCUUAGAAAGGCUUCAACGAUAGCUGAAUUUAAACUGCUGGAAGGUUUUUCCCCACAAGAUAUCCACAGAUAUUCUCUCCUUAUAUUACAGCGUAUGAGAGGAAAGGAGGGAAAUGCAGGAAGGGAUUUCAUACAUUAUUCUGGCGAUAACCAGCACAAGAUUUAAUCUUAUGUCGACCAAGUCUUCCACCCCACAUCAGGGCUCAAAUUGCCUAAUGCAUGCCGAAUCACAAUUUUAAUAGGGCUACGCUAGAGUAUAGUACAGUAUAUACAUCGCCACCCAUGUGGCCUGGUCAACACGGAUUGGGGCAGGUUUUCAUCAGGAGAUGAUGGCGGGUCAGGUGGAUAGGAGAAUGUUGCUUCGAAGGCGUCCUCGUGAGGCUAUCCUACGGUGAGAUAGGUCUGACGUCCAUCGCGGUUCACCGGCCAAGUCUGUUUCCAACUUGAGAGAGCCUACAACACGCAGGAUCACCACAGGAACGUAGAAGGUGUGGCAGUGUACUUCGGUCGACGAUGCAGAUACGAUGGCCUUUACGACUGGAAAGUUCCCCCGAUGCAGAGCAAGAAUUAACCUGGCGUCGACCAAGACUUCAAGAUUUGCUGGUGGUCAACGAUCUGUGAGCACCUCAUGCAUCACGGGCCAAAAACUUGGAGUGGAACAGGCUUACGUUCGAGUAGGUCAGCGAGGAAAAGAACAGGUUUUCAUUAGGAGAUGGUGGCGGAUCAGGUGGAUAGGAGAAUAUUGCUUGGAUUGGAAGGCAUCCGCAUGCGGUGAGAUGAGGUCUGAUGCCACUCUGCUGAUCAUUCAAUUCGAUUUGCCGUUUGAAUGCGAGGACCCAGUUUUACUAUGAGAAGGAUCGAGGAGGAUGUGGAUAACGGACUCCGGUCGAUGGCCAUGCCGAUCCCCAUGGUUGGAAGGUUCACCCGAUGCAGUCUCGUCAUGGUGAGGGGUGAUCAAAGAUCCAGUUGGUCUUCUGUAUGUCUUCCGCUGGCCCGAGCCCAGGGACUUUACGUUAUGACCAGGGACGGAUCCAGGAUUUUCCAAAAGGGGGGACAAUUUUUUCGGAGGAAAAUUUUGGCAAGCCCCCCCCCCCAAAAAAAAAAAAUUAAAAAUAGUUCGUAUACACAAAAAAAAAUUGACAAGAAAGAAAAGAUGGUCUUAAAUUUCAGAAGAGGGGGCAAACCUCUGUUUUAAUGGCAUUUUUAAAAUACAAAUUUUAAUUUUGCUUCUCAAAGGGGGGCACGUGCCCCCUAUGUCCCCCUUGAUCCGCGCCUGGUUAUGACCAAUAUGACCAACAUCAUCUUGAACUAGGUCGACCAAGACCUUCCUCGCAUGAACGACAACGCUAAUUACCCCUUCCCAUGAUCUGUUUUGGGUUUUCAUGGCGUAUACUGGGCCCCGUCUUACAAAGAGUUACGAUCAAUUGUAACUCUAUGGAAAUCCAUCAAUGUCGUAUUUUUUUCUACAGGAAAUUUGCAAAAUGUCCUUUGUAAACAAAGGAGAACACACCAAAUUGUCAAUAAAUCAAUGAAUUUAUGGAUAUAAAUUCAUCAUGUUCAUAUCUAGAUUUUUUUUUGAACAGACAUGCCUUUCAUAAUGUUGACUUUGCUGGCUUUCCACAGUUUCGAUUGAUUGGAUCAAUCGCAACUCUUUGUAAGACGGGACCCUGGUGAAAAACUAUAGGUAACACAACCUUUGCCGACUACCUUGAGUAGGGAAUGUUUGUAUUUUACACAUUUACUGUAUGUGAAUUCUCAACUGGUUUCUGUUUAAUUUGCGGGGUGUUCCCAUGUAUGCUGUGACAUAAAGUCCCUGAAUUUCUCAAGGAAGAGGCUGUAUAAUGUCAUCAUGUCAAACAUAAUAAUAAUGAUUGUUUAAUGCUUCAUUAGGAUUUUAGCAGAUAUACCGCAUGCGGUCCAUGGCGAUGAAAAAAUGAAUUGAAUAACUGAUUGUUGAAGAAAUAUGCCUUUGGAGGCUUUUAAAAUGACAUCGUCUUCUAAAGCUUCAACGCUUUGCUUCCUUGCACUAUUCUCUCGAAAUCUCAUUAUUUCACACUCCUAUUUAUUCCUUAUAAAACUGCCUUUUCAUAGGCCUAUUCGGGGUUCAGUAUAGCAGCGUUUAUAAAUCCGAGGGCAGCAUGCAGUUUGAGUGGGCAGAAUUUUUUUUUUGAUGAAGAUGAAUAUGGGGCCUGAUAUUUAUAAUACAAAAGCUAAAUGCACUUGGCCAAAAAUGAAGCUUGGGGUUUGAAUUCCAUGAAUUCCACAUCUUUUUUUUUUGCUCAGAUGCCUCGCUCACUCAUCUAUUAAAUGUUUUUUUUUUUUUAAAGAUUAUCCUUCAGAAUCUCAUAGUAUUUUGACAAAACUUGUUGGUUAAAAGGUUCAACAUUAAUUCGGUUACUUACGAAAGGAAUAUGCUUUGAAUAUUUGUCAUUUCUUAAACGAAACAGCAUAGCCGGUGGAAGUGGGGAGGGGGGGGGGCAGGAUCAUUUCAAAACAGGUAUAAAAGUGUGGGGAGAAACACGCAUAUUCUGUGGAAAGUUCUGAUCACAUACGUGAUCGUAGAACUUCCCCCUCCUCCAAAAAUGUGAAAGCUCGCAUUUUUCCGUUCAAAAUUUAUCUGAAUUAAAAAUAAACGUUACGCGGCUUUUCAUUUUAUAUGUGGCCUCAGUGGCCGCUAAAAUAUUAAUGCGAAGGAACAAGCACCCGGUUUUUUGUAAAUAGUAUAUAAAUAUUUAAAAUGCAAAAGAAUAUUACAUUGUAAAGUUUGCAUGAAAGUGGCUCCAAUGGUGACAUGUGUCUAAUAAAUUCAUAGCCAUUUUAUGCCCAUAAAACUAACAAAACAUACACUGAAAUUGAAUGGUAAAGAUGAUCAAAAUAAAAUGUUUUUCGUGUUUUCAUAAUUCAAAAAACAAUGAAUUGAAAGUAGAAUCAUAAAAAAUGAGAAAUAAAAUUAUGUCCCUUCUGUCGGCUAUGCUGCGUACUUAUGUUUCCUUUAUGGGUUGUUUUACAAUCAGGGAAUAUCAAUUAAAAAUGCUCUCUGUGCAUC